This 349-nucleotide long non-coding RNA is filed under the name Citrus sinensis (sweet orange). RNAcentral describes it as "long non-coding RNA (CSIN_LNC003200)". Lineage: Eukaryota; Viridiplantae; Streptophyta; Magnoliopsida; Sapindales; Rutaceae. The record is from RNAcentral.
UUUACUAACAGUGUUCACAGCAAAUAAUAUAUCAUACCAAAUAGUCAUACCUAAUAAAAAUUCAAAGUUUUCCAACUCAUAUGUUGCUAAACAUUUAGCUUCACUCUUUGUUUUAGGCUCUUCACCAAAUUCUGCCAAUUGGAGUAAAGCAUCUCUAAUUUGUGCGGCUUGAAACCUUAUUGUUUUAACACUUUCUAUGUGACUUUCCCAACGAGUUUGUGAUAAUGAUUUAACAGUUAAAUUAGGUACAUGAUCUUUUAAAAUUUUCCAUCUCUUUGUUGAAGAAGAAAACAAUGAAUAAAUACGUUGUAAAACUCCAAAAAACGAAGUAGCUUUAGAACAAGAAUUA